Molecule: non-coding RNA, 1092 nt
Organism: Cherax quadricarinatus
Lineage: Eukaryota; Metazoa; Arthropoda; Malacostraca; Decapoda; Parastacidae
Source: RefSeq, a predicted model, not a curated record
ACAGGUUAAGCUGUCAGUGUCCCUUAUAAAUUCAACAAGAAGAAAAUAGAUAACAGGUAAAAAGGUGCUAGGAGACUUGUCCAUACAUGUUGCCUCGACCAGCUUUCAUGCAACCUACUCCUGGAUGUGAACCAAGAACCCGAUGGAAACAAGGACCCCUGUGGAAAUAAAAACAUUGUAUUGAAGCAGUUUAUGAAGAUUAGCCAAAAUAUGUCAAAAUUAUGUGCUCUUCAAAAUGCAUUCACUAAAUCCCCAAAACAAUUUAGUAAUGUAACUGAGGAGUGCUGUGCCUGGCUGUGUCUGCUGCAACAUUGAUCAACACAGCAACAUUGAUCAACACAGCAACAUUGAUCAACACAGCAACAUUGAUCAACACAGCAACAUUGAUCAGUCUGAGGGGUGGAGACACUAGUAAAUAAUCUGACCCGUAACACUUAGUGUUAUAUGGAGAUGCAGCAGCUGGAGACGUAGUCAAAGAUGGGCGGGGCCCACUUAUAAGGUUGAAGAUGUCCGUGUUGUGGGCAGCUGCUGUGUGGUGAAGACCGUGCUGUGGGCAGCUGCUGUGUGGCGAAGACCGUGCUGUGGGCAGCUGCUGUGUGGCGAAGACCGUGCUGUGGGCAGCUGCUGUGUGGCGAAGACCGUGCUGUGGGCAGCUGCUGUGUGGUGAAGACCGUGCUGUGGGCAGCUGCUGUGUGGUGAAGACCGUGCUGUGGGCAGCUGCUGUGUGGUGAAGACCGUGCUGUGGGCAGCUGCUGUGUGGCGAAGACCGUGCUGUGGGCAGCUGCUGUGUGGCGAAGACCGUGCUGUGGGCAGCUGCUGUGUGGCGAAGACCGUGCUGUGGGCAGCUGCUGUGUGGCGAAGACCGUGCUGUGGGCAGCUGCUGUGUGGCGAAGACCGUGCUGUGGGCAGCUGCUGUGUGGCGAAGACCGUGCUGUGGGCAGCUGCUGUGUGGCGAAGACCGUGCUGUGGGCAGCUGCUGUGUGGCGAAGACCGUGCUGUGGGCAGCUGCUGUGUGGCGAAGACCGUGCUGUGGGCAGCUGCUGUGUGGCGAAGACCGUGCUGUGGGCAGCUGCUGUGUGGCGAAGACCGUGC